This is a long non-coding RNA of Ruditapes philippinarum (Manila clam), 1805 nucleotides long. RefSeq lists it as uncharacterized. The transcript has 2 exons. The record is from RefSeq and is a predicted model, not a curated record. Lineage: Eukaryota; Metazoa; Mollusca; Bivalvia; Venerida; Veneridae.
UAAAAAAAAUCACAUUCAUCUCUUUUCCUACUAAAUUGAAUGAUAAGCUUCAAUAAUGCUUUGAAUCAAUUAUAAUUAUUACUAAACAUUAUUUUGCUCCUUCUGAAAAAAAAAGAGAAAAAUAAUGUAAAUCACUGAGGUAUGAUAUGCCUUUAAUAUGAAAGUAAUUUACACAAGUAUUUUCAUUGUGAGUUGUUGUAAGUGAUUAAAAACCUUUUUUUAAUGUAAUCCAUUUUUUUUUGUUCUUAACUAUUAUUAUAAAUGGUAUGUUACUCUUUACACUAAAAAGUUAAAUCUUUAGUUUUUCCUUACAUCUAAAAUGUUCUCUAUGUCUUCCAGCUUAAAACUAUACAUUCUUGAAACAUGAUAGGAUCAUAAAACAUUCAAGGGUGCUGCUAUCAGUAAUACAGUGACAAGCCGUGUAAUUAUUCACUGACCAGAGAUAGGAAAUUUUGGGGGAAAAAGUUUAUGUGUAGGACUAUGUAGUAGAAGAGAGAUUCACCACAGGCUGUUUCGGUUGAAAUAGAAAAUAGUCUGAAGGAAAAGUACAUACGUGUUGUGUAAAAUUUAAAGUGUCAGUGUGUACUAAAAUAGUGUAACAGAACACUGAAUUACUGAUUCGAACUAAUAAGCUAAACAUAACAAACAAUGAAACAUGGCUAUCAGAAGUACAUGACGGUGAUCGAUUAGUGCUUGGGAAAUUGUUAAUUAAUCAGAUUAGAGAAGAAAAGAAAAUAUUGUGAUUUGAUAUUCAACAAAUCAAUAAGACGUAUACUGGAUUUAAUAUAAAACGGCGUCAAAUAAGGAAUAACAAUAAAAUACGGAUAAAAAAUGGUUGUUUAGAAAAGUGAUGCAUCGGAACAAUCGCAAACAUUUUGAAUGCGCGAUGAAAACAUCAGACAUAGACAUUUAACAUUGAAGUUGCUGAAGUGAUAUUGGUAUUCUCAGUUCAUCAUGUUUCAACUAUCGUUUUAUUUUUGUUUUAUUUUUGUUUUUCUUUACAGAAUGAAACUCAUUAUUUGAUUCCGCAAAAAUAUAUUCAGAAAAAUGUAUGAAUAUUAUGUUUUGCACUGUCAUUGCUUUGUGUUUUGUGUAAUAUAAUAUUACCCAUAUCUGUUUUUUUCAUAAUCUUUUGGAUUUACAAUUAAAGGCACACCAUGCUUCAAACAUGAGGUUAGUUUCAUUUCUCAAAAACGUUUUUUAAGUUUCAAAGUUGGUAUCCUGUUACAGUUUCUUAAAAGUGGUACGAUCUCAUGUUCUAAAUACUAAUUUUGCGAUUGAUAUAAUUAGUGUAAAUACGUUUUUCGUGUAGAAGUCAAAAUACUACCUAGAUUACAUUUUGCUACCUUUACGAAAUAUUACUGAACAUUCAGCGAUACUUUCCUCAUCUGUUAAACACCUUACAUCCUCUAAAUCGUUGAUUAUACAUGUUUGACAUUUCUAAACAUUUUAAUUAUUAUGGAUUUCUGCGACAGAUUGUGCCUUUCACCUUUUUAACAUUUUGGUACUAGCUUUUAUCAUCCAAUAGCUUUCUUUGAUACACAUCUAUUUCUUAUUAUGUUUAUUAUAUUGAAAUUGAUUUUUAUUUUUGUGUUUGAUUUUCGAUAAUCAGUUAGAAAAAUAGAUAUGAGAUCAGAAUUCUCCAAAAAUAAUGUUAGUUAUUUUUAUUAUAUUCCAUGAAUGUUCAGUAACGUCAAAUUUGCCUUAAUUUUCGUUUGUUGCAGUAAUAAUGUAUAAAAUUGUAUGAUAAAACAUUAAACUAUAAGCCCUUUAUAUGCAUAAAUGUUAUUGCAAGUUAAUUUUUU